UACGUAGGGCGCGAGCGUUGUCCGGAAUUAUUGGGCGUAAAGAGCGUGUAGGCGGCUUGGUAAGUCCGCUGUGAAAGUCCAGGGCUCAACCCUGGAAAGCCGGUGGAAACUGUCAAGCUUGAGUCCGGAAGAGGCGAGUGGAAUUCCUGGUGUAGCGGUGAAAUGCGCAGAUAUCAGGAGGAACACCAAUGGCGAAGGCAGCUCGCUGGGACGGUACUGACGCUGAGACGCGAAAGCGUGGGGAGCAAACAGG
RNAcentral lists this ribosomal RNA (253 nucleotides) under uncultured bacterium. RNAcentral describes it as "partial 16S ribosomal RNA". It matches the Rfam family "Bacterial small subunit ribosomal RNA", at positions 524 to 776 of the family's 1533-position model. The record is from RNAcentral.